CAGCCAAACCAUAUCACCAGGAGAAAAGAAAAGAAAAAAAUGAUGCUUGAGAAGAAAGAGAGAGCAAGAAAGCGAGAGAGAAUGGUAGAGAUGGAGGUAUUGAAAAGAUAAGAGAAGAUGGGAUUCAGAACUCAAGAAGGGGAGUCAAUUCAAUGUGAAAAUGGACUGAAAAGUGGAAAUUACAGUCAUGUUUAUAAUUGGCAGUUUUCAGGUUUUACAGAUGAAGGGCUGGCUCAAGUGACUA
Molecule: long non-coding RNA, 244 nt
Filed under: Homo sapiens (human)
Lineage: Eukaryota; Metazoa; Chordata; Mammalia; Primates; Hominidae
Description: HSALNT0107445
Source: RNAcentral